This 440-nucleotide ribosomal RNA is filed under the name uncultured bacterium. RNAcentral's name for it is "partial 16S ribosomal RNA". It matches the Rfam family "Bacterial small subunit ribosomal RNA", at positions 338 to 795 of the family's 1533-position model. The record is from RNAcentral.
CCUACGGGAGGCAGCAGUGGGGGAUAUUGCACAAUGGGGGGAACCCUGAUGCAGCGACGCCGCGUGGGUGAAGAAGCGCCUCGGCGCGUAAAGCCCUGUCAGCAGGGAAGAAAAUGACGGUACCUGAAGAAGAAGCCCCGGCUAACUACGUGCCAGCAGCCGCGGUAAUACGUAGGGGGCAAGCGUUAUCCGGAUUUACGGGGUGUAAAGGGGGCGCAGACGGCGAUGCAAGCCAGGAGUGAAAGCCCGGGGGCCAACCCCGGGACUGCUCUUGGAACUGCGUGGCUGGAGUGCAGGAGGGGCAGGCGGAAUUCCUGGUGUAGCGGUGAAAUGCGUAGAUAUCAGGAGGAACACCGGUGGCGAAGGCGGCCUGCUGGACUGCAACUGACGUUGAGGCCCGAAAGCGUGGGGAGCAAACAGGAUUAGAUACCCGUGUAGUC